UACGUAGGGCGCAAGCGUUGUCCGGAAUUAUUGGGCGUAAAGAGCUCGUAGGCGGUUUGUCGCGUCUGCUGUGAAAUCCCGAGGCUCAACCUCGGGCUUGCAGUGGGUACGGGCAGACUAGAGUGCGGUAGGGGAGACUGGAAUUCCUGGUGUAGCGGUGGAAUGCGCAGAUAUCAGGAGGAACACCGAUGGCGAAGGCAGGUCACUGGGCCGCAAACUGACGCUGGAGGAGCGAAAUGGCGUGGGGAGCAAACAGG
This 257-nucleotide ribosomal RNA is filed under the name uncultured bacterium. Its description in RNAcentral is "partial 16S ribosomal RNA". It matches the Rfam family "Bacterial small subunit ribosomal RNA", at positions 524 to 776 of the family's 1533-position model. The record is from RNAcentral.